RNAcentral lists this ribosomal RNA (512 nucleotides) under uncultured bacterium. RNAcentral's name for it is "bacterial SSU rRNA". It matches the Rfam family "Bacterial small subunit ribosomal RNA", at positions 30 to 526 of the family's 1533-position model. The record is from RNAcentral.
AUUGAACGCUGGCGGCAGGCCUAACACAUGCAAGUCGAGCGGUAACACAGAGGAGCUUGCUCCUUGGGUGACGAGCGGCGGACGGGUGAGUAAUGCCUGGGGAUCUGCCCGAUAGAGGGGGAUAACUACGGGAAACUGUAGCUAAUACCGCAUAAUGUCUACGGACCAAAGUGGGGGCUCUUCGGACCUCAUACUAUCGGAUGGACCCAGGUGGGAUUAGCUAGUUGGUGAGGUAAUGGCUCACCAAGGCGACGAUCUCUAACUGGUUUGAGAGAAUGACCAGUCCAACUGGAAAUGAGACACGCUCCAGACUCAUACGGGAGGCAGCAGUGGUGAAUAUUGCACAAUGGGCGCAAGUCUGAUGCAGCCAUGCCGCGUGUGUGAAGAAGGCCUUCGGGUUGUAAAGCACUUUCAGCGGGGAGGAAGGGUCACUAGUUAAUACCUAGUGGCAUUGACGUUACUCGCAGAAGAAGCACCGGCUAACUCCGUGCCAGCAGCCGCCGCGGUAAUAC